This 1536-nucleotide long non-coding RNA is filed under the name Erythranthe guttata (spotted monkey flower). RNAcentral's name for it is "long non-coding RNA (EGUT_LNC000616)". Lineage: Eukaryota; Viridiplantae; Streptophyta; Magnoliopsida; Lamiales; Phrymaceae. The record is from RNAcentral.
AAAGUUUUUUUACAUUAAAGCUCAUAUCUAAUUGUAAUCACCCAUAACACAGGUAACCAAAGUUUCCAUAAAUUUUGAAAAAUCAGAUUAAAAAUCUUUAUAAUUUAAAAAAAAAUUAAGUUAGUGGGAUAAAAGUUUUCGUAUAUACAUUAAAGCCCAUGUCUAAUGUAACGACCACACGUAACCACCCAUAACACCCACCCAUAGCACACGUAACCCCAUAGCACAGACCCACUACUUCACUACAUGUUGGGUUUUUAUUGUUUAAUUUAUUUAUUCGCAGGAGAAUUAUAUUUCCUGGGUUGUUUUUUAGAUGAUCAAUUUCCUAUCCACUUUCCCACUACUUAGGUGGUUACCGUGUGUAAAACACAACCGAAACAUCGGUUUUUUCUAUAUAUAUUAUACAUAUUUCAUUCUCACACCCUAUAGCUCAUUCACUUUUUAAUCUGUAUAUUCUGAAACUUUUAUGGGAUUUCUACAAUGGCCCCCAAUAUCACGAACAUUGUUGACCUUAGUCCGACUACAAUGGCUUGGAGAUUUAUAGUACGAGUAAUGUUGUUGUGGUUUGUUCCACAUUAUGAAAACAAAGAUGUAAUUGUUAGACUUAAUAUGCUACUCAUGGAUUUCUAGGUGAUAUGCAAAACGUUGUUUUUAAUUUUAUUUAUUUAUUUUAAUUACGUCUACAAAAUAUUUGUAUAGUGUUGAUCUUCUUCUUCUAUCUCUUCUUCUACUUUUCCUUCUUCUUUUUCUUCAUUUUUCUCAGUCUCCUUCCUCCUCCUCCUCCUCCUCCAUCUUCUUCUUUUUUUUCUUCUUCUUCUUAGAAAGCAAUUGAUUACGUUGAAAAAAGUUGGUGAGUAAGAAGAAGACAAAGAAGAAAAAGGUGAAAAACUUCGGCAUUCACUCAGCCAUAGCAGAGCUAUGCAUACUUAGACAGUCGACAGUCAACAACUUUCAGUCUAAAGUGUCCAUGAACCCCUCCUAAAUUACUACUGAUCCAUUGCAAACAAACAAUAAUUCGCCAAAGGGAAAAACAUAUAUUCACAUACAACUAAGUAAUGUUAGAUCAAUCUUACAAAAUAAUUUUUUUUUUGCAAAACCCAACCGUAAUUGAAUACUAGAACCAAUGAAAAAAAUUGAAAAAUGGAAAAAAAAAAUGCAUACCAAUUUCGUCGCCGUUAAUAUCUGAAAAGCAAAUGUCAUCCAAGGUAAAUUGCCUAAAAGUUGUUUUCAAUCCACAUUUGAAAUUCGACAACAUUGAAAUGGUAAAACUUACGCAAACUAAUUUUACGUGACGAUACAAUAGAAGUUCCAUUCAUCGUGUGUUGAAGCAAGGAUAGAAGUUUAGAGAUAGUGGGAGGUUUUUCUUUUGUUUGUGUAUUAUUGACAGAUAGUGGGAAGUUACUCUUUUGUGUGUAGGUGUUAUGUUGUAAAUCAAAAAACUAUAGGAAAAAAAAAAAAUGCCAACAAAUGGAGAUUAAAUAAAAAACAAAAAAAAUGCAAGAAUAUUGCAUUUACUAAAAUACCCCUAGAUUUAGA